AACCAACAGAGCGGGGCAGAGGUCCCCAGCCCCGGCGCUGACCGGGUUUCACGCUGCGGUGCGUACGGACGCCUUCUAGUAAGGUCAUCCGCCAAGUCGUACUUGUGGGAACGAGAACAGAAACCCGGCGUGGGCCAUGCUCCUGGGCUGGGAGACCUCCUCUCGGGCAGCGGAGUAUCCGAGAAGAUGCGGAGCGGGUGUGCCGGCAGUGCCGGCUCUGGGGGCUCGCCGGCCGCUUGGGAACGGAAGGGGCAGCGCGGUGGAGGACGCGCUAUAAUUAGCACGGGGCAGGAAAUAUGCUUUUCCCGCUCAAUUAAAUGCUGAUAUUAGGGGUGGGGGGGAAAUUCUUUCCUCUUUGCUGAAGCUAACGAGAGGGACAAAAAGAGCCUCUUCUCCCCUGGGUGCACCGCCACAUCAAGAGCGACACAAAGCCACGAAGUACCAGACAGGGGCAGCCUAGCCGGCUUGGCUGGAGUGGAGGGACGGGGCUCAGGGGGAAGACGGGGAGCCCCCCGCCGGUGCCUGCGAACCCGGCAGUCUCUGCCUGCGGGUGCGCACCAGCCGCCAGGUGAGGGGUUUGUGCUGAGGUGGUUCCUCCCCUAACAAGUUCCGCAGCGGAGCUCAGAAACUUUUCCAAAUGAAACUGUAGUGGCAACUGAUAGGGUAUUCUGACGGGUUUCUAACCCAACAUAUGUAGGCACGCGCGCGGGAGCCCCUCGACAAAGCCCACCCCCUUCCUUCCUCCGCGCAGAAGCUCCCGCCGCCGGCUGGGUGACCGGGCGCAGGUGCGCCUGUCACAGGGAGAGGCUGCGGGCGCGGGGCCGACGAGCGCAGGUGGGAGCAGCCCUGCCAGCGGUGUCCGGGCGCGACCCCUUGUGAAAGGGAGGCUCCGGGAGCGCCUAGCCGCGAAGCGCCGCCGCCACGGGAGAUCGCUGGGGACGGAAGGCUGGCGAGGCGGUGGCGGCUGGCUGCAGCCAGGCGUCCCCCGGCCGAGGAGAGGAGAGCCGGAGCAGCCUGCCGCCGGCUGCGGGGAGCCUCCAUCCCGGCGGUGGGCAGCGCCGCUCCGGGAUCGGGGCGGCGGGCGGCCGGCUCUCGAAGCGACGCAGGGCGGGGGUGGAGGGGGGCGACGAGGGGACUCACCCGGGCUCGGCGGGACGGAGCUGGGGCCGCCGCUGCCGCCGCCUGGAGGUGGGGCGGUCAGGUUGUUCUGGCUCUCGGGGGGCCGGGGGACGCAGCAGCCGCCGCCGGGGAGAAGCGUCGAGGCUGUGCCGGGGCGGACACGGGCUGCCGGAGGAAGAUGGUGCGCCUGGGGAAACAACAGCCUCCUCUCCCCCGCCUCUCCCCGGCGCGGGCGGUCUGCUCGCCUUUGAUUGCGAGGCGAGGGCAUCCUGCCCCCGCCGCUCCCCCCUCCCGGGAUGGUUACAUACAAAGGCUGCUUUCCAGGAACUUUCCAGGAACCGCAUCAUGUGACAGGACCCGCUCCGGCGCCUCCGCCGCGAUCGCGGCCAGCCGGGGCCGACGCACCGAGCCGCCGCCCCUGUCACGCCGGGGCAGCGGCCGCCGAACGCUGCCCCGCGGCCCCCCCGCCUCCUUCUCCUCCGCCCGCGGAGGCGCGGGCGACGCGCAGGCAAAAAUCCCUUUCAUGGACAAGGAAGGAGGCAACAACGUUUUUACAGUCCUGAGAAGUGCCUGUUACUAGAAAUGAUUUUCACUUUGUUCCUGAAAAGUAUGCCAAGUUUACUGGUGAGCUAGUAAACUGAUUUAUUUAUAUAAUAUGCAAGCUUGCGGGGGGGGGGGAAAUGUGUUUUUGACUCAGCUGAUUUUGCUAAAUUUGCUUUGAUUCACUGAAAAGAUUUACUGAUUUUUAAAGAUAGAUUUACCUAGCUAGCUGGAAGAAUACAAGGGCCUUUCCUUGCUCUCAUCAUCCUUAACUUCCCAAAGAUGCAGCACAGAAUAUCUAUUAUCCAUGGCAUACCAUUUGGUCAGUUGAAAUACCUUUCAGUUAAAAGGACAGCUAUUGCUUAUCACAUAGGUUUACUUACUGAAUGUAUUUUGACAACUGUUUACCUUAACUAGUCUAAAUAACAGUGUACAGCUGCCAUGGUUUCUCUGUCCUGGGAUUGCAGUCUGGUUCUUGAGCAGAGAAAUAUGAAUAUUGAGCCUUUAGCUCCAGCAAAUUGGAAUGAGUUAAUUGUAACUCCACAGCACAAGAAAAGUCUGCAAUGUGAACUCUUUGAGGAUUACUCACUUAGCAGUUAGGAGAAAGGUUUGCUUAUUUCACAAAGAGUUCUUAAAAUAUUCUAAAUAAAACAUAGUGAAAACAAAUAUUUCA
Chloebia gouldiae (Gouldian finch) is the source of this 2332-nucleotide long non-coding RNA. Lineage: Eukaryota; Metazoa; Chordata; Aves; Passeriformes; Passeridae. The record is from Ensembl.